RNAcentral lists this ribosomal RNA (305 nucleotides) under uncultured bacterium. Its description in RNAcentral is "bacterial SSU rRNA". It matches the Rfam family "Bacterial small subunit ribosomal RNA", at positions 333 to 655 of the family's 1533-position model. The record is from RNAcentral.
CCACCCCUACGGGACGCAGCAGUGGGGAAUAUUGCACAAUGGGGGAAACCCUGAUGCAGCAACGCCGCGUGAGUGAAGAAGUAUCUCGGUAUGUAAAGCUCUAUCAGCAGGGAAGAAAAUGACGGUACCUGAAGAAUAAGCUCCGGCUAACUACGUGCCAGCAGCCGCGGUAAUACGUAGGGAGCAAGCGUUAUCCGGAUUUACUGGGUGUAAAGGGCGUGUAGGCGGGCCUGCAAGUCAGAAGUGAAAUCUGGGGGCUUAACCCCCAAACUGCUUUUGAAACUGUGGGUCUUGAGUGAUGGAGA